This 329-nucleotide unclassified non-coding RNA is filed under the name soil metagenome. RNAcentral describes it as "partial contains 5.8S ribosomal RNA, internal transcribed spacer 2, and large subunit ribosomal RNA". The stretch from base 1 to 120 matches the Rfam family "5.8S ribosomal RNA", at positions 35 to 154 of the family's 154-position model. The record is from RNAcentral.
GAUGAAGAACGCAGCGAAUUGCGAUAAGUAAUGUGAAUUGCAGAAUUCAGUGAAUCAUCGAAUCUUUGAACGCACAUUGCGCCCCUUGGUAUCCCGAGGGGCAUGCCUGUUCGAGCGUCAUUUCACCACUCAAGCCUGGCUUGGUGUUGGGCGACGUCCCCUUUGGGGACGCGCCUCGAAACGCUCGGCGGCGUGGCACCGGCUUUAAGCGUAGCAGAAUCUUUCGCUUUGGAAGUCGGGGCCCCGUCUGCCGGAAGACCUACUCGCAAGGUUGACCUCGGAUCAGGCAGGGAUACCCGCUGAACUUAAGCAUAUCAAUAAGCGGAGGA